This 2308-nucleotide long non-coding RNA is filed under the name Anser cygnoides (Swan goose). RNAcentral describes it as "lncRNA (ENSACDG00005007818.1)". Lineage: Eukaryota; Metazoa; Chordata; Aves; Anseriformes; Anatidae. The record is from RNAcentral.
GUGGUAAUAAGGUUAACUGCUCAAACAACGUAAUUAACUGAGAUUGGUGACACACUGAAUCAUGCUGCCAACAAACAACAUCAGGUGACUCCUAUCUCGUUUUUGGCUUCUCAGGUAGACUUGAUCUCUGGGAUGAAACAAAGCUUGACUCCCAGAAAGCUGAAGAAAGAAGUCUAAAGUUUGUUUGAAGCUCUGGUGAAGACUUCCACAGACAGCUUCUACCUUCUUUCCAGUCCAUGGAAUCUAAGACUUCAUUGAGGAUCAGGCUAUACAAAUAGAAUCUUUACACUGGCAAAUUGCACCUAUUGUUGUUGGGGUGCAUCUGAAGACUGACGCAGAAACAGAUCCUGGAUCUGGAGGUGGGGCGAUGAAAUGUGAUAAAACUAGGAAACAUGAAGGAAGACACCGUAUUGGGUUUUAUUAUUACUUGGCUCCCAGUGAAGAAGCUUUAAUCAUGAAUGUUAACAUACAACGUUCAGUGAAGUUGCAAGAUGUGGCAGUCAUGGUAGUGAAGAAGUGGAAAGACUGAUUCCAGUUGUUCCUCUGUGAACUGUGCCGAAUUCCUGCCCGAAUUGUGGUCACUGAAGGUACAUAAGGCAAAAUUCUGUAAGGAUAAAAUGAAAGAAAAUGCCAGUAGAAUGAUUCCUGGAAUGGUCUUCACCCCCUGAACUCUCUUUUGAUAGUCAGGGCCACUGAAAGUUCCCCACACAAUCUGGAGGCUUUGAGAGGAGAGGAAAAAGAAGCUGAGAAGAGUUAACAUUGGUUGUAUGCUGUGGUUUAGUGGUGGCUGAAGAGGCGGUGAGAUGUGACUGUGGAGAUACAUACUGCUAAACUGCCUUGUGCUGGGAAGCCCUGUUGGGCCACAGGAGGACUUGUGGCUCUUGCCGGUAAUGCCUCCAAGGAGAAUUAAGGAGAUGUCUAGAAAAUAGGUUACUACAGAGGUAGGUUGCAGACUUGUAUACCUUGGUAGCUAAGACUAAGGAGCACAAAGGGUCUGAAGCCUUACUGAACUCAUGUUCUCUAUGAAAGAUAGAUUUCUUGAUGACAGGAGCACUGGACUGUGUAUUUGUCACUUAUUUGUUAGGUAGUUUCGGACAAGAGAAAAACAAUUUGACAUGUCCACAUUCUCAUCUGUAGAAUGAACAUCUUAUGUGAUUUCUUUAUGGCACGUGUGAUCUGAUCACCAUUAGUGAGAGACGAGUGUCUUCACUGAGAUGCAUGUCUACUGCUUACUGAUGUAUAGAAGCUUUCAGAUGGGUUGUACUCCUGCACCACAUAACCACUUGGGUACAUAUUUUCUUGCUGUUGCAGAAUUCCUUUAACUUUGGAUAAAAUUGCAGUCUGCCUUCCUGAAUAACAAUGCAGAGUUAGAGACAUAUUCUGUCUGUAAUACCUUGGAUUUGAGGAAAAUGCAUUUAAAAACAAACCCAAAUUCACAUAAAUGUUUUAAAAGUCAGGUCUGAAAUUGGAUCUUAUUCAGUUUAGGUCAAUAGUCUAGAAAGAAAAAUUCAGAAUAGGAGAUGAAUUGUGCUGAGUAUUUAUUUCUUGGGGUUUCUCUAAGGCUUUUAUUAUGGGAGUUGAAUCUAAAGAGUGGCUCUCCUAAAUGCUAUUAACGUAUCCACUUUUUCUGUGUUCCUGUUAGUAGGAAGCAAAUGACCUCAGUAUUAGGAGGCAAGUUUGAAAACUGCACAAGGAAUUACAUGUUAAAAAGAGAGAGAGAGGUGUGCAUACUUCCCCUUGAAGCUUUGAAAAUGUAUUUCUGCAGGGUAAGGAGCUUCUGAAGCUACAGCAAAAAAUAAGGGUAUUUCUUUCUUCUGUCUUUGUGCUAUGUACUGAGAUGUUUUGGGGAAAAGCAACAAGACUUCAUAUAAAUACACCAGUAUUCUUUGAAUGUCCCCAUUUCAUUAUUCCCUUAAUCAUAUGCUGGAGAGCACAAAAGUAGUUAUACGACUCUUCCUGGUUCUUAAAGAAAACUGCUGUGUGGGCUGAAAAGACGCCUAAUUUGUAGACUGAAAGCAGAACUUUUCAGUUCUGGGUAUAUUGUAUAAUUGCUUACAAUUUUGACAGGGUUAGCCUAGAGCGGAAUGAAAAUGUGUUGAAAUUCAUUUCUUGUGUAACUUCUCUGAAAUAAUCAUGUGUUUUCCAUAAGAAGUCAACUGGGUGGGCAGGAAAGAUGUCCUUAAACUGAUUGUUUAUUUUUAUUUUUAUUUACUUUUUAAUUAUUUUUUAUACUGCCUUUUUAUUUUUCCCUACCAUAGUGUGGACAAGUCAGUAUUUACAAAUAAAUCUUACUAGCGAUCUUUUCUCA